CACCUGACCACUGAGAGCCAUGGUACUGGCAAACACGAUGGCCGGAAGGGAUGCUACCGCCUAUUGCCUACCGCCUGACCGUUGCCAUCCCUCCUCACGGGGCUGGGGCUGGGAUUCUUUGCGGUGAGGCAAAGGGCGCGAGCGCGGGCACUUGUGUUUUGGCCCUCCGGGCUGUCGUAGCGCGAGGGGCGCCGUGGGAACGGCGUCGGUGCGCAUGCGCGCCUGGUGGUUGCCUAGGUUACUAAAGCCAGCGGGCGCUAAGCGGGGUUUUAGAAGGUUUAGAGUGUUUGAAGCAGGGGGAGUUGCUUGGAAAACAGCGGAUAAAGCCAAGGGACGGCUAGGAUUUCACUGGUGAGCAAGAACCGGUGUGACAGCAGGAGGACAGCUCUACUGCGGGGAGGAGUGACUUUCGUCUCACUUCCAGGAUAACGAACGGGAAAGACGCCCGGAAACAGGUUGGGGUAAACCGGUAUCAUGUAGGAGGAAGGCGAAGCUAUUUUGGAUCUUUCCCGGGAGAUCCUGGAACCUGGACGGGUGUCAUUUCCACAGCGGCGUCGCUCUGACCACCUCCGCCCUCCUUUCGCCGUGUGCAGGAUGGAGGCGUGGGACUCUAGUUUCCCCGAGUGCCCUUUCUGUGCCAGGAUCCCGCGACCCUGUUCGAACACACAAGCUGGGAAACUGAAGAUUCGAGUUGGAAUUUAGUGGAACUGGCAGAUGCCAGCCCCUCUCCACCACGCGGUUAGGAGGCCGCAGUGAUAUGUUGUACUUUAUUUGGAAUAUUGGGCUUUAAACAGCAUCCUGGGAGAAGUAGUGUUGCCUUUGGUGCAGAUCUAAGUGGAGCACUAAACUUUGGAGGGGUUGACAGAGAUUCACAGAAAGGCUUGUAACAGAGCCUGAGGAGGAGUUGGUAAGGUCACCACAAAAACCUUACAUGAACGAGGAGUUGCUGUUAAUCCUCCGCGAGUCUGAUUUUCCGAGUGUGUCUGCGUGGUGUGCAAGAGUGGAAGAGCAUGAUUCUAACUGCGAGACUGAGCCCAAGCCACCGUUUGCAGGACAGAAGCUGGCCAAAGCACGCAGACUCCUACAAGUCUAGGAAAUAAUGUUUGGGGUGGAAUUCAUGAAAAAUCGGAUCCGUUCCGCCAGUGCAUGGAGCCUGAUCAUCACCUCGUUUCUUUGUGGCACACAUCCAUUGGAGCUGCUUUUUAGAAAUACAGGAUGGAGAUUCAGUGGGUUGUCCUCUGGCCACACAGCAUCCCUUAUGAGAGCCUUGGGCUCCUGGGCUCGUUCACUCAGUACCUAGUGGACCAUCAUCACACCCUCCUGCACAACAGAGAUACGAUUGGACUAUAUGUUUAACUUAUGAGGGAAGGUGACAUGCCAGGUGGCCCUGGCCAGGGGAAAGGGCCUGUGGGACGUACGAGCAACUACCAAACAGGACAUCCAGUUACCACCUGACAGGAGAUGGAAACAGCACGGGGUAAGCGCAGCACCCGGGCCACUCUCUGCAUCUGGGUGUCUUCCUGCCAAACAGAGAAACCAUGAAGUAAUGAUGGUGGAUGUGGGAGUCUUAGAGGCUGGAUAUAGAGCCAAAGGGAGUCCUGCAAAGAAAAAGGUCAGCAGGCCAGCUCGGUCAAUGUCAGGAGAGGGGCUACCUGGCCAGAGGCGCGCCUCUCCAACAGCUGAUGAUGGGCCAUGCAGGCGACCCCUGUAUCUCACCACCAUCUUACACUGUUGAAUUUGCCACCUCCUUAGGCUACCCACAAGCCUCUAGAAACACUAAGCUGAGCUCAAAGGCUUGCACUCGUCCUGGUAGAGCCUUCCUGAUCACCCAGGGGCCGACCCAGGCCAGAACGUGAGCAAUGUCCCCUGUCCCACAGCUGUGUCAACUCUGGGACCCUGAGACUGAUUUGGGGGGAAAAAUGAAAGCAAUACACCUUCUCCCACCAGCUCAAGACGGCUCAGAAAUGCCAUCACCCAUUGCUGAAGGAAGGAUCCAGACACAGGCAGGCUCAGAGGUCUCAGACCUGAGAUUCAGAUGGAUAAGGCAGCCACAGCCCCUCAACCCAUGCAGGGUUCACUUUAAGCUAAGACUCCAGAGUAAGAUUUUAUAGGAAAAAAAGGACUCCUCUGGACACAUGGUUGGAAAGCCAGAGUCCUAAUUCAUUAGGAACCAUUUUAAGUCAAGUCUAGAGGCCAAGAGAGAAGCAUCGGGAUGGGUGUUGAACCCAAGCCUGUGAAUGCCAGAUCUGUUUCUCCUCCACUACUUUUCUGAAGAAACCAGGAGCAGACAGGGAGCCAAGAGAGAAGGUGGAAUUGCACUGCCCACCUGAGGCUUCCAGGCAAGAGCAUCUAAGAGAGGGUGUCCCAUCCUACUCACCCACCGCUAUUUAGCAGAAAUAGCAGAGCUAUUUCUCCAAUAUCCUCCCUUGGCCACCCACUGGUACUGCUCACUUGCUCCUGGCUUUGGAUAUUCCUGGUGGCAUCUCCUUGCAUAAUGUUAAAUGUACAAUGUCACAUUUCCCAGACUGGUGAAGAAAGGUUGUUUUAAAAAAUAUUUAUUUUUCUGUAUUUGAAAAGCAGAUAUACAACAGAGGCAGAGACAGAGACAGUCUUCCAUCCACUGGCUCAUCCCCAAAUGGAAGCAAUGACUGGUGCUGAGCCAGGCUGAAGCCAAGAGCCAGGAGCUUCUUGUGGGUCUCCCACAAGGAUGCAGUUGCCCUCCUCUGGUGUUUUCCCAGGCAUUUUAGCAGGGAGCAGGAUCAGAAGUGGAACAGCUAGGACUCAAACUCAGGGUCCACUCCAGUACACCGUAGGGUGGGAAGAUCCUGGGGAUGGGUGGCCGUAGCCAAGUCUUCUCAGCAACCACUUUCUACUGGAGGACCAGGAGCUGAGCUCCGGGGUUGCCCCACAGAUGUCCAUGGCUGAUGCUUUGAUAGGGCUCAGUGUGACUUUGGGACAUUGUAGGAAGGGCAUGCAAAGAGGAUGAUGUGCCCCCUACCCCCACCCAGACUCUCCUGUGGGUCUGGAUCACACAGUCUCUGUUGAGGAAACCAUCAGCAUGUCUGUGGCUGCUGUGAAUCCACUGUGGUGGCGAUUGGACAACCAGGCUCACCAAGCUAAGAGGGACCUCGGUGGAGAUGGAGAACUUAAAAAUACCUUCAAAAUUUCCUAUAGGAGUUGAUUUUGACCACAUCUCACCUGAGUCAGGUACACUAAGGUACACUUUGUCCACCAAGAAAUUCUGCAGUACAACCACCCUGCCAGCAGAAUUCACAGAGGAACAUGCAAAGACCUUAAAGGGGAGGCACAGAGCUGAGCAGGGACUGCCCCAACCCCUUAGCAGGCUCCCCAUUGCAGCUGCCCGGACACACGUCACCCUGCUGUUCCUGAUUCUGGCUCCCUGCUGGAAGUAUUGCACUGUGCCGCACUGCACAGUGGGCCCCUUGGAGCCUCCACACACCAGACAGAGUGAAGGUCUGUAGUAGCCAGACGCAAAGUCCCAGUUCCCACCAGAAACAAUUCUUGGGCUUUUCUCUGCACAGUUUCAGAUGCAAGGUGCUAGGGCCAGAGACUCAGUGCCUGCUGCCUCAGGUUGUCACUGGGUGGUGCCUGACAACUCAAGUGACCAGGACAGGACCUGACACACUUGCACACUUCCGGUCCCCAGUCCUGCUUUGAAAGAGGUCGCAGGAAAUGACUGGCUGGCUUUCCAGGGUUCUGUGCAUAAGGAGCAACUGUGUAUUGAGAAGGCCCCAAACUACAGGACAAAUAUGGCCGCAUGCCCACCCCUCCAGCUUGGAGUGGACACCUCUCAUCAAGUCCUAGAGCAGCUCCCCUGCCCCUCCAUAUAUCAGACAAAAGGGGUUCAUUUGCCUGGGGAGUCAACAAAUGAUUGGUCUCCCACGACAAUUCAAAGGACAGCUUUAUUGUGACAAGGAGAUUGGAAAGUACAGCUCCCUAAAACUACUGCCUCUGUGAGAAGCCAUUUUUGAGGGAUUGUAGAGUGAGGGCGUGGCUGGGAUAGAGGAAAAAGAGAAGCAAGAGGGCCCUACCUGCUCAAGCAACCCACAGCAGCACGCAUCGUGUGUUCAAAACCCAACUCCUGCUGGGCUCUUGCAGCUCUCCUUGCUGUGAGGCCCAAUCCCUGGGGGUACAGCAUUGCAAGAUCACUCUUCUUAGAAUAUUCUUGGGAAAACAAGCCAAGAGAAUAAAUUGUUAGAUGCUGUGCCCCUGCCCAUGCCCCUGCCUGUUGUCUAAAUCCUACUGUCUGAGUUACAGAAUUUUUUUUAAAGCUGUAUUUAUUUGAAAGGCAGAAUGACAGAGAGACAGACAGGCAGACAGAGUCUUCCAUCCACUGGUUCACUCCCCCAAAAGGCCGCAACAGCUGGAGCUAUACCAGGAGGAGGAGCUUCUUUCGGGUCUCACACAUAGGUGUAGGGGCCCAAGGACUUGGACCAUCUUCCACGACUCUCCCAGGUGCAUUAGCUGGGAGCUAGAUCAGAAGUGGAACAGUUGAGACUUGAACGGGCAACCAUAUAGGAUGGCGGCUUUACCCGCUGCACCAGAGCACCAGCACCUGUAGAGAUCUUUUUUUUUAAUAUUUAUUUUUUAUUUGAAAGUCAGAGUUUCACAGAGAGAGAGAGAGAGAGAGAGAGGGGACUUCCAUCUGGUGGUUCACUCCCCAGUUGGCUGCAAUGGCCUGAACUGUGCUGAUCCAAAGCUGGGAGGCAGGAGUUUCUUCUGGGUCUGCCACACAGGUGCAGGGGCUCAAGGACAAGGGCCAUCUUCUGCUUUCCCAGGCCAUAGCAGAGAGCUGGAUUGGAAGCAGAGCACCAGGUUUCAUACCGGUGCCCAUAUGGGAUGCCAGUGCUCAGGCCAGAGUGUUAACCCGCUGUGCCACAGUGCCGGCCUGGGAAGUAAUGUUUUUUCACAUUUCCCUACUGGGAGGCAGCAACAUACACUGCUCAAGACCAGGGACCGCACCCAUGGUGAAAUUUAAAGGACUCCAUGCAAUCUGGGUUUUUCUCCAAACUUUUCUUCCAAGGGACAAAUAGCUGGCAAUAAAACACCAAGAUUAGAAGAUGCGAGUCUAAAACUUGAAAAUGACACAUUUUACAUACACAAAUACUCUAGGAAUGAAAGCCCUAAUGGUACUUCAGAUGAUUUAUAGCAGUAAAUUUAAAACCCUAGAUGAAA
Molecule: non-coding RNA, 5196 nt
Organism: Oryctolagus cuniculus (rabbit)
Lineage: Eukaryota; Metazoa; Chordata; Mammalia; Lagomorpha; Leporidae
Source: RefSeq, a predicted model, not a curated record